UAUUUAAGGUGGAGCAGAGGCUGGACCUUCAUGCAGUAUUUAAGGUGGAGCAGAGACCGGGCCUUCAUGCAGUAUUUAAGGUGGAGCAGAGACCGGACCUUCAUGCAGUAUUUAAGGUGGAGCAGAGGCUGGACCUUCAUGCAGUAUUUAAGGUGGAGCAGAGACCGGACCUUCAUGCAGUAUUUAAGGUGGAGCAGAGGCUGGACCUUCAUGCAGUAUUUAAGGCUGGACUUACUCUGUCUGAGCU
Melanotaenia boesemani (Boeseman's rainbowfish) is the source of this 247-nucleotide long non-coding RNA. RefSeq lists it as uncharacterized. Lineage: Eukaryota; Metazoa; Chordata; Actinopteri; Atheriniformes; Melanotaeniidae. The transcript is spliced from 3 exons. The record is from RefSeq and is a predicted model, not a curated record.